This 141-nucleotide small RNA is filed under the name Arabidopsis thaliana (thale cress). Its description in RNAcentral is "ATSL019460". The record is from RNAcentral. Lineage: Eukaryota; Viridiplantae; Streptophyta; Magnoliopsida; Brassicales; Brassicaceae.
UACGCCGGAGAAGAAACACCAGGAAAGCUAAUUAGAAAUUGAAAUGACGAUCGCGAGCAGAAAAUCAAUUUCACCUCUCUCUUUUUUUUUUGGUUUUUUUUCUUAAGUUUUUGUCUCCUUGAUUUCAAUAUAUCUCUCUUU